AUACCUUUCUCGGCCUUUUGGCUAAAAUCAAGUGUAGUAUCUGUUCUUAUCAGUUUAAUAUCUGAUAUAUGGACUACAUGUACACAACGAUAUUAAAUUUAUUUUUUGUGGGGGAGAAUCCAUCUUAGUGGCUUGCCACUAGGGUCCUCGCGUGUUCGUCGGGCGUUGCACUAUAGCCCGGGUGUGGCGCGCCCCAC
Non-coding RNA from Triticum urartu, 197 nucleotides. Lineage: Eukaryota; Viridiplantae; Streptophyta; Magnoliopsida; Poales; Poaceae. The record is from Rfam.